RNAcentral lists this ribosomal RNA (253 nucleotides) under uncultured bacterium. RNAcentral describes it as "partial 16S ribosomal RNA". It matches the Rfam family "Bacterial small subunit ribosomal RNA", at positions 524 to 776 of the family's 1533-position model. The record is from RNAcentral.
UACGGGGGGGGCAAGCGUUGUUCGGAAUUACUGGGCGUAAAGGGCUCGUAGGCGGCCAACUAAGUCCGACGUGAAAUCCCAAGGCUUAACCUUGGAACUGCGUCGGAUACUGGAUGGCUUGAAUUCGGGAGAGGGAUGCAGAAUUCCAGGUGUAGCGGUGAAAUGCGUAGAUAUCUGGAGGAAUACCGGUGGCGAAGGCGGCAUCCUGGACCGACAUUGACGCUGAGGAGCGAUAGCUAGGGGAGCAAACGGG